Molossus molossus (Pallas's mastiff bat) is the source of this 103-nucleotide small nuclear RNA. Lineage: Eukaryota; Metazoa; Chordata; Mammalia; Chiroptera; Molossidae. The record is from RefSeq and is a predicted model, not a curated record.
GAACUUGGUUUGGCAGCACAUAGACUAAAAUUGGAACGAUACAGAGAUUAGCAUGGCCCCUUCGCAAGGAAGACAGGUAAAUUAAAGCAUUCCACAUAUUUUU